AGUGAACGCUGGCGGUAGGCCUAACACAUGCAAGUCGAACGGCAGCACAGUAAGAGCUUGCUCUUACGGGUGGCGAGUGGCGGACGGGUGAGGAAUACAUCGGAAUCUACUUUUUCGUGGGGGAUAACGUAGGGAAACUUACGCUAAUACCGCAUACGACCUACGGGUGAAAGCAGGGGAUCUUCGGACCUUGCGCGAUUGAAUGAGCCGAUGUCGGAUUAGCUAGUUGGCGGGGUAAAGGCCCACCAAGGCGACGAUCCGUAGCUGGUCUGAGAGGAUGAUCAGCCACACUGGAACUGAGACACAGUCCAGACUCCUACGGGAGGCAGCAGUGGGGAAUAUUGGACAAUGGGCGCAAGCCUGAUCCAGCCAUACCGCGUGGGUGAAGAAGGCCUUCGGGUUGUAAAGCCCUUUUGUUGGGAAAGAAAAGCAGCAGGUUAAGACCCCGCUGUUCUGACGGUACCCAAAGAAUAAGCACCGGCUAACUUCGU
This 491-nucleotide ribosomal RNA is filed under the name uncultured bacterium. Its description in RNAcentral is "partial 16S ribosomal RNA". It matches the Rfam family "Bacterial small subunit ribosomal RNA", at positions 29 to 506 of the family's 1533-position model. The record is from RNAcentral.